UUCGCAACCCGACGGUUUGAAUAAGUGUACUACUACUACUAUACACAUAGUGUCCUACGGGAGACACUUAUGCAACUGCAGACAGCUGCUUAAUACAGUCACACUUGUCUUGACUUUGCACUAUAUACGAAAUAUAUUUGUAUAUUACUACUAUAUACUUAUAUAUGACUACCCUAUUAUUAUUCCAAUAUUCUUGGAUAACUAAGGGAAAGUUUGGCUAAUACGUACGAAAUAUAUACUACUACUACUCUACUCUAUUUCAACGCGCUUACUAGCGUAGGUAUCCUUGGGGUAUUGGUUCAUACCUUUGCUCUAUACAGGGUCCUACAUCACUUGCAUAAAUGAUAUAUAGUAAGUACGCGUAAGGGUACUUCGGUACCUUAUAAGCUGAGCUGACUUGCAAGGUCUAUACCUAAGCAAGCGGGUCAUACAAGCUUCUAUAGCAUCAAGUCAUCUGGUGGCAAGUGUACUAUUGAACUAUCAAAGCAAUUACGCUUACGGAAGAGAGUUUCUGAUCCCAUAUAAGGAGCACAGUACAAUGAGAGACCGCUCUUAKUUCUAAGGAACGCAGCAGGCGCGUAAAUUGCCCAAUGCUAGUCCCCUUUAUUCAAUACUGUUUACUAUACUAUACUAUUAUAUACCUUGUAAACUGUUACUCAUUAUAUUCUACUGAGGCAGUGACAAGCUGUAACGAUUGGACUUUGAAUAUAUACACUUGCCUUGACGUGGCAUUGCAGUCUCGCAAGGGGCUUUGCAGAGCCCGUCGGCUAAGUACUGAAGUCAAUUGUAAUGCGGUGAGUUUAACCUAUUCAGUAACGCUGGCAUUCAUGGCUCGUAAGGGUCAUAGUGUCGGAUAUCUGAAGUCAAGUGGAGGGCAAGUCUGGAGCCAGCAGCCGCGGUAAUACCAGCUCCACUGGCCUAUACAACCAUUGUUGCGGYUAAGAGGCUCGUAGUUGGAUUGAACACUAUAUUNUAUACUAUAUAUAUUACUACUACUACUGUAAUAUAUUAUAUGACACUUUACAACACUGUGAAUAAAUCAGAGUGCCUCAGACAUGUCUGUUACUGUGCACUGUAUGAUUCAUCAUGGAAUGUUGCCUCUACUAUAUACUAUACUACUACUAUGUGUAUUGUUAUAUUAUUAUGUGUCGAUGAGGGUAGUUGGAGUCAAGAGUACUGCCGGGCGAGCGGUGAAAUGCGUUGACCCUGGUAAGACUACCUGUAGCGAAAGCGCUUGACUAGGCUAUACCUUUUGUGACCCUAUAUAUACUAUUAUAUGUUAUUAGGGCAUACCCUUAUACAAUGAAGAACGAAGGUUGGGGGUUCAAAGAGGAUUAGAUACCCUCGUCGUCCCAUUUGUUACAUCAAACGAUGGGCUCUCAGUCGUAGUACUUCGGUACUAUUUAGACUAUUGGUACAUUACCCCUAAGUACCUGCAAAGUAUAUUUAGACUUGUAGUUAACUUCGGUUGACUCGUCUUUUGUUACUAAGCAUUUAGUGUCUUAUGGGACAUUUGUUACUACUGUCGUUAAGCUUGACUUAUUUCAUUAUAAGUUGACCUACUUGAAUGUUGGAGCUUUGAGCACCUCUUUUAAGAUGUAAGCUACAAUAUACCCUUACAUGCUAUACUUUGAUAAGCGCUUCCUGUGUCUUUCUCAAGGUGCAAGGGCCUUAGACUAAGUUGGCACAGUCUAUAUUAUACUCAUAUGUAUGUGUAGUACUGCAGGGUUACAUUGUACGCUUUAGGCACGCGCUUACUGCAGAAAUGUAUAAGACAUUCCCCUCCGGGGGUAGUAUGCACGCAAGUGUGAAACUUGAAGGAAUUGACGGAAGGGCACCACAAGAACGCGUGGAGCAUGUGGCAUAAUUUGACUCAACGCGGGAAACCUUACCGGGUCCGGACAUACUGAGGAUUGACAGGCAAAUAAUAGUUAUACUUUUUGUAUAGCUUACUUACCAAAUAUGUAAGUCCUUUCAUGAUUGUGUGAUAGGUGGUGCAUGGCCGUUCUUAGUUCGUGGAGUGAUCUGUCUGCUUAAUUGCGUUUCAGAUAUAUGGGGUUCUAAGGUAUUACGACGUAAGGUGCUUCGGUACACUUGCUUAGUAGCCUGCCCCUUUGAAAGCAACGAACGUGACCUCAAACCUAUGUUACCUCUUUUUAUUAUAGAGGCUAUCUUAGGUGACUGCCAGAGUUGUCAACUCGGAGGAAGGUUGAGGCAAUAACAGGUCUGUGAUGCCCUUAGAUGUUCCGGGCUGCACACGUGCUACAAUGAUUGUUGCAGUAAGAUAUCUGACUGCUCUUAUACUGUGUUUGUACUUCGGUACAUCAACACAGUGGGUUUUUACCCUUCGGGGUAUUACUCAUAGACCUACCUCGAAAGUACGGUAGGCAAUCAAUUCCAAGUAACAAUCUACCUAUUUUAUAGGAAAGCACAAGCCUAAAGACUUUGUUUGUAAUUGCUUCGGCUUUUGCAACUUGGUCGUGCUCUAAUUGAAUUCGUGGUCGGGACAGACCAUUGUGCUUAAUUAUUGGUCUCGGUCUCAACUAGGAAUGCCUUGUACGGGUCUUUGGUUCAACAUACCACCCGGAAUACGUCCCUGCCCUUUGUACACACCGCCCGUCGCUCUUACCGAUGGACUACUCUGUGAGUUGGAGGGACUGGCCAUCCAUAUAUGCUUCUUCGGAUGUGUAUAGGCUAUAGAAACUCCUGCGAACAGUGUGGUCUAAAGGAAAGAGAAGUCGUAACAAGGCAUCG
RNAcentral lists this ribosomal RNA (2754 nucleotides) under Ovammina opaca. RNAcentral describes it as "bacterial SSU rRNA". It matches the Rfam family "Eukaryotic small subunit ribosomal RNA". The record is from RNAcentral. Lineage: Eukaryota; Foraminifera; Astrorhizida; Saccamminidae.